UACGUAGGUGACAAGCGUUGUCCGGAUUUACUGGGCGUAAAGAGCGCGCAGGCGGUCGAUCAAGUCGAGUGUGAAAGCCCCCGGCUCAACUGGGGAGGGUCAUUCGAUACUGAUCGACUCGAAGGCAGGAGAGGGUAGUGGAAUUCCCGGUGUAGUGGUGAAAUGCGUAGAUAUCGGGAGGAACACCAGUGGCGAAGGCGGCGACCUGGGCCAAUAUUGACGCUGAGGUGCGAAAGCGUGGGGAGCAAACAGG
Molecule: ribosomal RNA, 253 nt
Filed under: uncultured bacterium
Lineage: Bacteria
Description: partial 16S ribosomal RNA
Rfam family: Bacterial small subunit ribosomal RNA
Source: RNAcentral